This 468-nucleotide ribosomal RNA is filed under the name uncultured bacterium. RNAcentral's name for it is "partial 16S ribosomal RNA". It matches the Rfam family "Bacterial small subunit ribosomal RNA", at positions 28 to 507 of the family's 1533-position model. The record is from RNAcentral.
GACGAACGCUGGCGGCGUGCCUAAUACAUGCAAGUCGAACGGAAAGGCCCUGCUCUUGUGGGGCGCUCGAGUGGCGAACGCGUGCGUAAAACGCGCGUAUCCUGCACUUGACUUUGGGAUAACUUUAGGCAACUGGGGCUAAUACCGGAUAGGAGCUCCUGCUGCAUGGUGGGGGUUGGAAAGUUUCGGCGUUUGGGGAUGGUCUCGCGGCUUACCAGCUGGUUGGUGGGGUAGUGGAUUACCAAGGCUUUGACGGGUAGCCGGCCUGGGAGGGUGACCGGCCACAUUGGGACUGAGCUACGGCCCAGACUCCUACGGGAGGCAGCGGUGGGGAAUAUUGCACAAUGGGCGGAAGCCUGAUGCAGCAGCGCCGCGUGCGGGAUGACGGCCUUCGGGUUGUAAACCACUUUCGCCUGUGACAAAGCGUGAGUGACGGUAAUGGGUAAAGAAGCACCGGCUAACUACGUG